This 273-nucleotide small RNA is filed under the name Enterobacter ludwigii. Its description in RNAcentral is "5' ureB small RNA". It matches the Rfam family "5' ureB small RNA". The record is from RNAcentral. Lineage: Bacteria; Pseudomonadati; Pseudomonadota; Gammaproteobacteria; Enterobacterales; Enterobacteriaceae.
CUGCUGCGGGCAGAUCCAGUGGAUGUGCGUGUCGAUCCCGCCGGCGGUGACAAUUUUCCCCUCGGCGGCGAUCACUUCUGUCGCUGCGCCAAUCGGGAUCGUGACCCCGUGCUGUAUAUCCGGGUUACCGGCUUUACCCACGGCAAAGAUCCGUCCGUUUUUUACGCCAAUAUCGGCUUUAACGAUCCCCCAGUGAUCGAUAAUCAACGCGUUGGUCAGCACCAGAUCCACGCAGCCGUCGGAUGUCAUCUGCCCCUGGCCCAUACCGUCGCG